Pygoscelis adeliae (Adelie penguin) is the source of this 588-nucleotide long non-coding RNA. RefSeq lists it as uncharacterized. The transcript is spliced from 2 exons. The record is from RefSeq and is a predicted model, not a curated record. NCBI's taxonomy places the organism in Eukaryota, Metazoa, Chordata, Aves, Sphenisciformes, Spheniscidae.
UCUGGAUCUGGCUGUUCCGCAAGUAAAAUCCCCCCUGUAGAUCCCAUGGCCUAUCUUGAUGGCCGGAAUUGCAGAAUCCUUCAUCUGCAUGGCUCAAGGAAGGAUAGCCUUUUUGUACCGAAGUGACACCGAAGCCUUCCACUACCCUUGCCAGAAAUUUGUCCCGAAGUGUUUACAUAAUGAUGACAACGGAUUAUUGCAGCCCAUGUCAACUGACGCAUUUCAUGUCUCUGAAUCGAUGCAAACAUCGUGUUCGUUGCAUCAACAGAACUGCUCACAUGUCCUUGAUACAUUUUCAAGAAAUUUUUAUUUGGAUGUAAAAUGUCUGUCAGCCAACAUUUCAGCGGUAUCUAUCCGUCUUCCUUGGGGCUUAAGAUAUUGCUGAAGCGUUGGCUGAUAGUCACUUUACUACCAAAUAAAAACUGCUUGAAAAUAUAUCAAGGACAUAGGAGCUGCUCUCUUGAGGUAUGUGACGUGAUGUUUAUGCCCAUUUUUAUAGAUGUUAAACCAGUUUCUAUGAGGGGGCACUAUUAAGAAUUCAACAUCCUGGUAACUAUGUUUUGAAGGGAAUAAAUGGACUGUGCAUCU